RNAcentral lists this transfer RNA (84 nucleotides) under Candidatus Saccharimonadota bacterium. RNAcentral's name for it is "tRNA-Leu". It matches the Rfam family "tRNA". Rfam says of the family: Transfer RNA (tRNA) molecules are approximately 80 nucleotides in length. Their secondary structure includes four short double-helical elements and three loops (D, anti-codon, and T loops). Further hydrogen bonds mediate the characteristic L-shaped molecular structure. tRNAs have two regions of fundamental functional importance: the anti-codon, which is responsible for specific mRNA codon recognition, and the 3' end, to which the tRNAs corresponding amino acid is attached (by aminoacyl-tRNA synthetases). tRNAs cope with the degeneracy of the genetic code in two manners: having more than one tRNA (with a specific anti-codon) for a particular amino acid; and 'wobble' base-pairing, i.e. permitting non-standard base-pairing at the 3rd anti-codon position. The record is from RNAcentral. Lineage: Bacteria; Candidatus Saccharimonadota.
GCGGAUGUGGCGGAAUGGUAGACGCGCUAGUUUCAGGUACUAGUAUCGCAAGAUGUGGAGGUUCAAGUCCUCUCAUCCGCACCA